Molecule: ribosomal RNA, 497 nt
Filed under: uncultured bacterium
Lineage: Bacteria
Description: partial 16S ribosomal RNA
Rfam family: Bacterial small subunit ribosomal RNA
Source: RNAcentral
GAUGAACGCUGGCGGCGUGCCUAAUACAUGCAAGUCGAGCGAACAGACGAGGAGCUUGCUCCUCUGACGUUAGCGGCGGACGGGUGAGUAACAUGUGGAUAACCUACCUAUAAGACUGGGAUAACUUCGGGAAACCGGCGCUAAUCCCGGAUAAUAUAUUGAACCGCAUGGUUCAAUAGUGAAAGACGGUUUUGCUGUCACUUAUAGAUGGAUCCGCGCCGCAUUAGCUAGUUGGUAAGGUAACGGCUUACCAAGGCGACGAUGCGUAGCCGACCAGCGAGGGUGAUCGGCCACACUGGAACUGAGACACGGUCCAUGCGCCUACGGGAGGCAGCAGUAGGGAAUCGUCCGCAAUGGGCGAAAGCAUGACGGAGCAACGCCGCGUGAGUGAUGAAGGUCUUCGGAGCGUAAAACUCUGUUAUUAGGGAAGAACAGAUGUGUAAGUAACUAUGCACGUCUUGACGGUACCUAAUCAGAAAGCCACGGCUAACUACGUG